UAAACAAUGCUUGGAUCUUGG
RNAcentral lists this microRNA (21 nucleotides) under Ciona intestinalis (vase tunicate). RNAcentral describes it as "cin-miR-4203-3p". Lineage: Eukaryota; Metazoa; Chordata; Ascidiacea; Phlebobranchia; Cionidae. The record is from miRBase by way of RNAcentral.